Molecule: ribosomal RNA, 559 nt
Filed under: uncultured bacterium
Lineage: Bacteria
Description: bacterial SSU rRNA
Rfam family: Bacterial small subunit ribosomal RNA
Source: RNAcentral
CCUACGGGAGGCAGCAGUAGGGAAUUUUGCGCAAUGGGCGAAAGCCUGACGCAGCAAUGCCGCGUGAGUGAAGAAGGCCCUCGGGUCGUAAAGCUCUUUAUCUUCGGGAAGAUGAUGACGGUACCGAAGGAAGAAGCACCGGCUAACUACGUGCCAGCAGCCGCGGUAAUACGAAGGGACCUAGCGUAGUUCGGAAUUACUGGGCUUAAAGAGUUCGUAGGUGGUUGAAAAAGUUGGUGGUGAAAUCCCAGAGCUUAACUCUGGAACUGCCAUCAAAACUUUUCAGCUAGAGUAUGAUAGAGGAAAGCAGAAUUUCUAGUGUAGAGGUGAAAUUCGUAGAUAUUAGAAAGAAUACCAAUUGCGAAGGCAGCUUUCUGGAUCAUUACUGACACUGAGGAACGAAAGCAUGGGUAGCGAAGAGGAUUAGAUACCCUCGUAGUCCAUGCCGUAAACGAUGUGUGUUAGACGUUGGAAAUUUAUUUUCAGUGUCGCAGCGAAAGCAAUAAACACACCGCCUGGGGAGUACGACCGCAAGGUUAAAACUCAAAUGAAUUGACGG